Molecule: ribosomal RNA, 86 nt
Filed under: Faecalibacterium prausnitzii
Lineage: Bacteria; Bacillati; Bacillota; Clostridia; Eubacteriales; Oscillospiraceae
Source: RNAcentral
UUCCCAUUCCGAACACAGCAGUUAAGCUCACUCGUGCCCAAGAUAGUUAGCUGGAAACGGCUUGUGAAAAUAGGUAGCCGCCGACU